UACAGAGGUCCCGAGCGUUGUUCGGAUUCAUUGGGCGUAAAGGGUGCGUAGGCGGCGGGGAAAGUCUGAUGUGAAAUCCUGGGGCUCAACCCUGGAACUGCAUUGGAUACUUCCUUGCUAGAGUACUGGAGAGGAAACUGGAAUUUACGGUGUAGCAGUGAAAUGCGUAGAGAUCGUAAGGAAGACCAGUGGCGAAGGCGAGUUUCUGGACAACUCCUGACACUGAGGCACGAAAGCUAGGGGAGCAAACAGG
This 253-nucleotide ribosomal RNA is filed under the name uncultured bacterium. RNAcentral describes it as "partial 16S ribosomal RNA". It matches the Rfam family "Bacterial small subunit ribosomal RNA", at positions 524 to 776 of the family's 1533-position model. The record is from RNAcentral.